Molecule: transfer RNA, 72 nt
Filed under: Rhizobium leguminosarum
Lineage: Bacteria; Pseudomonadati; Pseudomonadota; Alphaproteobacteria; Hyphomicrobiales; Rhizobiaceae
Description: tRNA-Thr
Rfam family: tRNA
About the family: Transfer RNA (tRNA) molecules are approximately 80 nucleotides in length. Their secondary structure includes four short double-helical elements and three loops (D, anti-codon, and T loops).
Source: RNAcentral
AUAUAGCUCAGUUGGUAGGGCGCCUGCCUUGUAAGCAGGAUGUCGUGGGUUCAACUCCUACUGUCGGCUCCA